AUACGUAGGGGGCGAGCGUUGUCCGGAAUGAUUGGGCGUAAAGGGCGCGUAGGCGGCCCGGUAAGUCUGGAGUGAAAGUCCUGCUUUUAAGGCGGGAAUUGCUUUGGAUACUGUCGGGCUUGAGUGCAGGAGAGGUAAGUGGAAUUCCCUGGGUAGCGGUGGAAUGCGUAGAGAUUGGGAGGAACACCAGUGGCGGAGGCGACUUACGGGACUGUAACUGACGCUGAGGCGCGAAAGUGUGGGGAGCAAACAGGAUUAGAUGCCCUGGUAGUCCACGCUGUAAACGAUGGAUACUAGGUGUGGGGGGACUGACCCCCUCCGUGCCGCAGUUAACACAAUAAGUAUCCCACCUGGGGAGUACGAUCGCAAGGUUGAAACUCAAAGGAAUUGACGGGG
RNAcentral lists this ribosomal RNA (396 nucleotides) under uncultured bacterium. Its description in RNAcentral is "partial 16S ribosomal RNA". It matches the Rfam family "Bacterial small subunit ribosomal RNA", at positions 523 to 918 of the family's 1533-position model. The record is from RNAcentral.